Small nucleolar RNA from Erinaceus europaeus (western European hedgehog), 131 nucleotides. Its record names the gene SNORA70. It matches the Rfam family "Small nucleolar RNA SNORA70". Rfam says of the family: snoRNA U70 seems to be exclusive to mammals and is a member of the H/ACA class of snoRNA which contain H (ANANNA) and ACA box motifs. H/ACA box snoRNAs are involved in the conversion of uridines to pseudouridines (5-ribosyluracil) a constituent of structural RNAs (transfer, ribosomal, small nuclear, and small nucleolar). NCBI's taxonomy places the organism in Eukaryota, Metazoa, Chordata, Mammalia, Eulipotyphla, Erinaceidae. The record is from Ensembl.
CGGCAGCUGUUUCAGCUGACAUGCUCAGUCCCCACGGGCCCAGCCUGCCUGCGCAGUAAACAGCAGCCUUCCGGGGAGUGUCCGCAGUCUGUUGCUUGUCUGCAUGACCCCAAGGGGCCUUGCUGACAGCC